UGGCCCUUGUGGAGUUUGAGUCCAACCC
This 28-nucleotide non-coding RNA is filed under the name Homo sapiens (human). Lineage: Eukaryota; Metazoa; Chordata; Mammalia; Primates; Hominidae. The record is from RNAcentral.